GUCGAGCGGAGUGAUGGUGCUUGCACUAUAUCUUAGCGGCGGACGGGUGAGUAAUGCUUAGGAAUCUGCCAUUUAGUGGGGGACAACAUUCCGAAAGGAAUGCUAAUACCGCAUACGCCCUACGGGGGAAAGCAGGGGAUCUUCGGACCUUGCGCUAAUAGAUGAGCCUAAGUCGGAUUAGCUAGUUGGUGGGGUAAAGGCCUACCAAGGCGACGAUCUGUAGCGGGUCUGAGAGGAUGAUCCGCCACACUGGGACUGAGACACGGCCCAGACUCCUACGGGAGGCAGCAGUGGGGAAUAUUGGACAAUGGGCGAAAGCCUGAUCCAGCCAUGCCGCGUGUGUGAAGAAGGCCUUUUGGUUGUAAAGCACUUUAAGCGAGGAGGAGGCUCUCCUAGUUAAUACUCUAGGAUAGUGGACGUUACUCGCAGAAUAAGCACCGGCUAACUCUGUGCCAGCAGCCGCGGUAAUACAGAGGGUGCGAGCGUUAAUCGGAUUUACUGGGCGUAAAGCGUGCGUAGGCGGCUGAUUAAGUCGGAUGUGAAAUCCCUGAGCUUAACUUAGGAAUUGCAUUCGAUACUGGUCAGCUAGAGUAUGGGAGAGGAUGGUAGAAUUCCAGGUGUAGCGGUGAAAUGCGUAGAGAUCUGGAGGAAUACCGAUGGCGAAGGCAGCCAUCUGGCCUAAUACUGACGCUGAGGUACGAAAGCAUGGGGAGCAAACAGGAUUAGAUACCC
RNAcentral lists this ribosomal RNA (732 nucleotides) under Acinetobacter sp. Its description in RNAcentral is "bacterial SSU rRNA". It matches the Rfam family "Bacterial small subunit ribosomal RNA", at positions 61 to 787 of the family's 1533-position model. The record is from RNAcentral. Lineage: Bacteria; Pseudomonadati; Pseudomonadota; Gammaproteobacteria; Moraxellales; Moraxellaceae.